RNAcentral lists this ribosomal RNA (253 nucleotides) under uncultured bacterium. RNAcentral describes it as "partial 16S ribosomal RNA". It matches the Rfam family "Bacterial small subunit ribosomal RNA", at positions 524 to 776 of the family's 1533-position model. The record is from RNAcentral.
UACAGGGGGUGCAAACGUUGCUCGGAAUUAUUGGGCGUAAAGCGCGCGUAGGCGGCCACUUAAGUCGGAUGUGAAAGCCCCUGGCUCAACUGGGGAAGUGCACCCGAAACUGAAUGGCUUGAGUGCGAAAGAGGGUCGCGGAAUUCCCGGUGUAGAGGUGAAAUUCGUAGAUAUCGGGAGGAACACCGGUGGCGAAGGCGGCGACCUGGGUCGACACUGACGCUGAGGAGCGAAAGCGUGGGGAGCGAACAGG